Anguilla anguilla (European eel) is the source of this 449-nucleotide long non-coding RNA. RefSeq lists it as uncharacterized. The record is from RefSeq and is a predicted model, not a curated record. The transcript is spliced from 3 exons. Lineage: Eukaryota; Metazoa; Chordata; Actinopteri; Anguilliformes; Anguillidae.
CAAAAAGCAAACGUAAGCAAUGCUUACUCUCAAAACCACUAAAAACAUUGCUUCACCACGAUUCAAUCCGUAAGCAAACGUAGGAGGCUGUGCGUAUUUAAGUAAUAAUUAAUAACCGGUGGAAGAUGACAGACGGGACGUAGUCCAGGUACCUGUUUUAGUGCCUCUAUCGCAAUCCAUCACGCACAGUUCAGAGGAUGCACUAUAAGUACACAUAUAAAUCCUGUCUGAUUGCAGCCCUCCAGCACCAGAGCUGGAUAACACUGGUGUGCAUCUCUAUCACAGGACUUCAGGCCAGCAGUGAAGAUAGAAAUCAGAAUGACAAAUUGGGACGGACUGAAGAAGACCAGUGAUGCACCUUUCUUGUUUCAUUCAGCAACAACAAGAAACACUUUGAUGAAUGUUUCCUGUUCUUGGUCUGCCAAUAUGAUGGGGCUUGGCCUGCUUCU